This 425-nucleotide ribosomal RNA is filed under the name uncultured bacterium. Its description in RNAcentral is "partial 16S ribosomal RNA". It matches the Rfam family "Bacterial small subunit ribosomal RNA", at positions 354 to 796 of the family's 1533-position model. The record is from RNAcentral.
GUAGGGAAUCUUGCGCAAUGGGCGAAAGCCUGACGCAGCCAUGCCGCGUGAAUGAUGAAGGUCUUAGGAUUGUAAAAUUCUUUCACCGGGGACGAUAAUGACGGUACCCGGAGAAGAAGCCCCGGCUAACUUCGUGCCAGCAGCCGCGGUAAUACGAAGGGGGCUAGCGUUGCUCGGAAUUACUGGGCGUAAAGGGAGCGUAGGCGGAUAGUUUAGUCAGAGGUGAAAGACCAGGGCUCAACCUUGGAAUUGCCUUUGAUGAUGGCUAUUUUGAGUAUGGAAGAGGUAUGUGGAACUCCGAGUGUAGAGGGGAAAUUCGUAGAUAUUCGGAAGAACACCAGUGGCGAAGGCGACAUACUGGUCCAUUACUGACGCUGAGGCUCGAAAGCGUGGGGAGCAAACAGGAUUAGAAACCCCUGUAGUCC